RNAcentral lists this ribosomal RNA (753 nucleotides) under uncultured Comamonadaceae bacterium. RNAcentral describes it as "bacterial SSU rRNA". It matches the Rfam family "Bacterial small subunit ribosomal RNA", at positions 28 to 776 of the family's 1533-position model. The record is from RNAcentral. Lineage: Bacteria; Pseudomonadati; Pseudomonadota; Betaproteobacteria; Burkholderiales; Comamonadaceae.
AUUGAACGCUGGCGGCAUGCCUUACACAUGCAGGUCGAACGGCAGCACGGGAGCAAUCCUGGUGGCGAGUGGCGAACGGGUGAGUAAUACAUCGGAACGUGCCCAAUCGUGGGGGAUAACGCAGCGAAAGCUGUGCUAAUACCGCAUACGAUCUACGGAUGAAAGCAGGGGAUCGCAAGACCUUGCGCGAAUGGGGCGGCCGAUGGCAGAUUAGGUAGUUGGUGAGGUAAAGGCUCACCAAGCCGUCGAUCUGUAGCUGGUCUGAGAGGACGACCAGCCACACUGGGACUGAGACACGGCCCAGACUCCUACGGGAGGCAGCAGUGGGGAAUUUUGGACAAUGGGCGAAAGCCUGAUCCAGCCAUGCCGCGUGCAGGAUGAAGGCCUUCGGGUUGUAAACUGCUUUUGUACGGAACGAAACGGCCUUUUCUAAUAAAGAGGGCUAAUGACGGUACCGUAAGAAUAAGCACCGGCCAACUACGUGCCAGCAGCCGCGGUAAUACGUAGGGUGCAAGCGUUAAUCGGAAUUACUGGGCGUAAAGCGUGCGCAGGCGGUUAUGUAAGACAGUUGUGAAAUCCCCGGGCUCAACCUGGGAACUGCAUCUGUGACUGCAUAGCUAGGGUACGGUAGAGGGGGAUGGAAUUCCGCGUGUAGCAGUGAAAUGCGUAGAUAUGCGGAGGAACACCGAUGGCGAAGGCAAUCCCCUGGACCUGUACUGACGCUCAUGCACGAAAGCGUGGGGAGCAAACAGG